Molecule: ribosomal RNA, 738 nt
Filed under: uncultured bacterium
Lineage: Bacteria
Description: bacterial SSU rRNA
Rfam family: Bacterial small subunit ribosomal RNA
Source: RNAcentral
GGACAAGAGAAGCUUGCUUCUUUUGGAAUCGAGUGGCANNNGGGUGAGUAACACGUAAACAACCUGCCUUCAGGAUGGGGACAACAGACGGAAACGACUGCUAAUACCGAAUACGCUUGGAAGACCGCAUGAUUUUCCAAGGAAAGGGUGGCCUCUACCUGUAAGCUAUCGCCUGAAGAGGGGUUUGCGUCUGAUUAGGCAGUUGGUGAGGUAACGGCCCACCAAACCUACGAUCAGUAGCCGGUCUGAGAGGAUGAACGGCCACACUGGAACUGAGACACGGUCCAGACUCCUACGGGAGGCAGCAGUGGGGAAUCUUCCGCAAUGGGCGAAAGCCUGACGGAGCAACGCCGCGUGAGUGAUGACGGCCUUCGGGUUGUAAAGCUCUGUGAUCGGGGACGAACGGUCCGUAAGCUAAUACCUUAUGGAAGUGACGGUACCCGAAUAGCAAGCCACGGCUAACUACGUGCCAGCAGCCGCGGUAAUACGUAGGUGGCAAGCGUUGUCCGGAAUUAUUGGGCGUAAAGCGCGCGCAGGCGGCUUUCUAAGUCCAUCUUAAAAGUGCGGGGCUUAACCCCGUGAUGGGAUGGAAACUGGAAAGCUGGAGUAUCGGAGAGGAAAGUGGAAUUCCUAGUGUAGCGGUGAAAUGCGUAGAGAUUAGGAAGAACACCGGUGGCGAAGGCGACUUUCUGGACGACAACUGACGCUGAGGCGCGAAAGCGUGGGGAGCAAACAGGA